GCACUCUGCUUCAUCAGGAAACUGCAUUACAGGAGCAGUUCUGCAAAUGAUAGCUUUCUCCUGGGACCUGGUGUAGCAUGUGGCUAUGGAGAGCUGUGAUGCACCUGAAGACCUGUAGAAGAUGGCUUGCGCACCAUCUAUCUGGGAAGGAAACAUAGGUGUUGCCUGGUGAAGACUGCACAGUGCUUUUUGAUGCUUUCCCAAGAUUUGUUUUUGUCCUGUUGGGUUGCAGCUGCAGACACAUUGCUUCAAGUAUCCAUCUGACAAGGCCAUCUGGAGGUCCUCCAAGGGAAACAGUGGAUGCCUUUAUUGUUCAUAAAAGUUACAACUAAAUUCGGACUGGAUAAAGCUUAAGGAAAUACCUCUUGGAGGACAACCCUGCCUUGGCUGCUGGAAGCCGAUGAGCUCGUGCUUGAAGAAGUUGGCAGCUGGCUACAAGAGAAGGAAGCCAGGCUGAACUCAAAGAGCUACACACCUCUGAAGGCCCCCACAGGAGAUUAAAUCUGGCUCUGUGCACCUUUGCCCUUCUC
Molecule: long non-coding RNA, 530 nt
Organism: Oxyura jamaicensis (ruddy duck)
Lineage: Eukaryota; Metazoa; Chordata; Aves; Anseriformes; Anatidae
Exons: 4
Source: RefSeq, a predicted model, not a curated record